RNAcentral lists this long non-coding RNA (348 nucleotides) under Pan troglodytes (chimpanzee). RNAcentral's name for it is "long non-coding RNA NONPTRT013017". The record is from RNAcentral. Lineage: Eukaryota; Metazoa; Chordata; Mammalia; Primates; Hominidae.
ACCAGCCUGGGCAACACGGUGAAACCCUAUCUCUACUAAAAUACAAAAUAAUUAGUCAGGCGUGGCGGCGUGCUCCUGUAGUCCCAGCUACUAGGGAGGCUGAGGCAGGGGAAUAGCUUGAACCCGGGAGGCAGAGGUUGCAGUGAGCUGGGAUCACGCCACUGCACUCUAGCCGGGUGUCACCUGUGCACCUAUUUCUCCAACUGGCCUGUAAGUGCAAUGAAGUCAAGGAUGGUGCCAGCGCUUGGCAGGUAAUGAGUAAGUAAUAAAUAUUGUUGAAUAAGGAAACUGAAUAAUGGUUCUCAGCCCGCUGUGCAUUAGAAACACCUGAAUAGCUUAAAAUAAAGA